UUCUCGUGACACUGUGCCCAGCCCUAUGAGAGCCUUGGCUCAGCUCAAAGCCGGUUGCCUCCAGCUGUCCAGGUUUGGAAAAGCCUGGAAGGCCUCUUAUCAAGGACAGCUCUAUUCUUGCCGAUUCUUGAGAAGGUACAGUCCAGGGGAUCCUAUGGUGGUGUCUCCUUUCGGGACUGUCUGGCUGGACCCUCACGACUGCUUUGCCACGCGAGGAGGAGCCUAGUCCUGCCUUGCCUCGUUAUCUGGGCACCAUCCGGUUGGUGCUACACAGAUCUGGUGAUGUCACUCUUCAGGUGUUGCUUAUUUACACAACCUCUACUGUUUGAGGCGGAGCCCUGGUGACCGCCGCUGGGGCUUGGAGUAAUUACAGCAUUCUGUGGAGAGGUGGAGCCCUCAUCGCAUUCUAGCCAUCUUCCCCAGAAUUGCCUUUGAUCCGGUUCUUUCCUGGGAAAGUAGCCAUUAGAAGAUGUCUAUCUUUGGUUUCAUGGACACGGGAGAGAGAAAUAAGAAUGACAUUGGCAAGGAGCACUUUCAUGUUCUUAGAACUGGCUUCCUCCCAGUCUGUGCCCGGAGUUCUCAGACCCGGAAGGCCUCAGCCUCUGACCCGUGUUCUCAGGGAACCCCCCUGGAGGCCCGGGGCUGAGAUCCUAUGCCAGGAAGGAGGGAGCCAGGGUGAGGUCCCUUCCCCAGGGUGCAUGCUCUCUAGGUGAUCUUCUUCCCCAAGUCUUUCCAGGACUCCUGGGGGACCCCUCUGAAGUAUCCAUGUUACAAAACAAAUGAAAGCACAUUGAUGAGAAUCCAGGAAUCAGUGAAAGUGAAAAUACUUGUCAUCCAUAACCUACAACCCUCCAAUAAUGAGAACACCCACAAAUUUCCUUGUUGCUAUUAUUGACAGAAGUUCUGGCUAAAGAUAAUUGCUAUAUGCUGUAUGUCCAGUUGAGGUCUUACUUUUUUCUCUUUAGAAAAUUUUUAACAACCAUGAAAUAUUCUAUUAAAUAACAGGUCCAAGUUUAUGUAAUCAAACCAUGAUAUUUAAAUUGUUUCUAAGUUACUUGAUGAUGAUCACCUUUUUAAAUAUAGUUCCC
RNAcentral lists this long non-coding RNA (1088 nucleotides) under Marmota monax (woodchuck). The record is from RNAcentral. Lineage: Eukaryota; Metazoa; Chordata; Mammalia; Rodentia; Sciuridae.